GAAGUUGGAUUCGCUGUAAUCGCGCAUCAGCCAUGGCGCGGUGAAUACGUCCCCGGGCCUUGUACACACCGCCCCGUCAAGCCAUGGAAGCCGGGGGUGCCUGAAGUGUGCAGCCGCAAGGAGCGCCCUAAGGUAAAACCGGUGACUGGGGCUAAGUCGUAACAAGGUAAC
Molecule: ribosomal RNA, 171 nt
Filed under: uncultured bacterium
Lineage: Bacteria
Description: partial 16S ribosomal RNA
Rfam family: Bacterial small subunit ribosomal RNA
Source: RNAcentral